Molecule: ribosomal RNA, 468 nt
Filed under: uncultured bacterium
Lineage: Bacteria
Description: partial 16S ribosomal RNA
Rfam family: Bacterial small subunit ribosomal RNA
Source: RNAcentral
GACGAACGCUGGCGGCGUGCUUAACACAUGCAAGUCGAACGGAAAGGCCCUGCUUUUGUGGGGUGCUCGAGUGGCGAACGGGUGAGUAACACGUGAGUAACCUGCCCUUGACUUUGGGAUAACUUCAGGAAACUGGGGCUAAUACCGGAUAGGAGCUCCUGCUGCAUGGUGUGGGUUGGAAAGUUUCGGCGGUUGGGGAUGGACUCGCGGCUUAUCAGCUUGUUGGUGGGGUAGUGGCUUACCAAGGCUUUGACGGGUAGCCGGCCUGAGAGGGUGACCGGCCACAUUGGGACUGAGAUACGGACCAGACUCCUACGGGAGGCAGCAGUGGGGAAUAUUGCACAAUGGGCGGAAGCCUGAUGCAGCAACGCCGCGUGCGGGAUGACGGCCUUCGGGUUGUAAACCGAUUUCGCCUGUGACGAAGCGUGAGUGACGGUAAUGGGUAAAGAAGCACCGGCUAACUACGUG